CAUCCAUUGUGAUUUCCAAUAGUCCAACGCCUAGCUCAAACUGGAAAGCCAGACACCAGAACCCUGCCCUCAUACCUCAGACCUCCCAGCCAGUAUCCAAAAUAACAGCAGGGACAAUAAAUAACUUCUUAACUUCAGUCCAAAACAGUUUGUGUCCGUGAUGUGGGUCUGUCUGCGUUCUUCAUAACAAACACUUAAAUGCUAGAGGACAAUACUACUCAGUAACUAAAGGGAAAUCAGAGACCUUCAGACACACACAAAUGUAUACAGAGGUAUAAGCUGAUGACCGGUUGUGGAGACGAUAGUAAUAAAAACUCUAGUCUAACGUCCACAUGUCGUGGGAAUCCACAGGGAAAAAAGUGAAAACCUUAAUGGUUCCCAGAGGCGAACAGAAAGGCCACUGUCAGGAAAGGAAAAGGAUUUCUGAUCUCAAGAAUGAACCUUAUCCGUGAUUAUUAGAAAUGUCCGCUCAUCUCUUCACAGCUUGCACUGAAAUGUUUCCAUUCCAUUCAUGUUCAUGGAGGAGAUCAGAGCCAAGGUGGCGGCCUUACACCUGAACCUAACACGCUGUAAAGUUCAGACGAGGUUAAGAUUAAAUGUCAGGGAUGAGUUGUCCCAUGUCUUUGAGGAUAAUUCCUCCUGACCCUGAAGAGGAAUCUAAACACACAAGUGAAGCCCCGCAGAAAAUAAACCUGAUAAGAUGGUUUUCAUGCCUCCUUGUCAUGUUGGAUUUCUGAUUUUAGUUUCCCAUGACUGGAAUGAGCUUGUGAUGAGAACGCUUUAACCCUUUAAAGACAACAAAGAGAAGCCUUCCCUUCUUUCCCAGCCGCCGCACACCGGCCAGCGAUAAAUACCUGCGGUGUUCAGGAGGGCUUUAAGGCUGCUCCGUAUACGCCACUCAUCCUGAUGAGCUGUCUGCACCGACAUCGUUUCCGGCUCGAGGCCCGGAUAAAGACACCGCAGGCACCGGACCGACAGAUGGAGAAUCUUCCUAUCCUCCAGGAAAUCUGCACUUCAGUUGAUGUAUGGACGGAGGCGCAGAAGGCGCGGGAUCAAAGUUUGGCUUAACUGUUGUUUUCUUUUCACUUUGUCCUUUUUUUUAAUUUUCUUCUGCUGAUGCUGAGAAGUAAACGCACUUUGGGUAAACUAUCCCGGAAAUGCAACUUUCAGGCCAAUUAGGCUCAAAAACUAAAACCUAAGGAGGUGGGGGGGGCAGAAGCCUAGCGGUAAGUGCGCGUCCCAUGCAUGGAGGCUCGGUCCUCCAGGUAGGUGCCACGAGUUCAAAUCCAGCCUGUGGUUCGUUCCCUGCAUGUCAUUCCCCCACUUUAAAACUUUAACUUUAAAAGCAGCCCAGAGAAUCACAGCAGCCGCCUUCUUUAUUGAAUCCAUCUCCAGGUGGAGGGGAUUACUGCUGCAUUUGUGAAAAAAAAAAACAUGUUCAGGGGGAAGUGAGUGAAGUCUGAUCCAUGUGCUCCAGUGAUUUGACUCAGGGAGUUAAGGAGUUAACCUGGCGGCUGUAGCUCGCUGCUUAUCUUUAGUAGCUUUGACCUCUUGUCAUUCUUAGACGACCACAACAUUUUUGGCACUUCCUCUUCUCCAUCGCCGUGUUUGGAUCCUUCCUGGUUCUCCUAACCACAGAUGACGACCUCGACACCGUCCAGAGAGACAAGAUCUUGGUCUUCUAGACGUGUCAGCUCUUCUGUGAUGAGCUCAGCUCCUGCUCUCUGCCUUAUCGCCCAGUUAACACUCUAAUUAGCUACACAGCUAACGUUGGCGUUCAUCUUAAAGUUUUGGUACACAAUGAAGGGUUCCUCAAUCCUCGCCUAUGUAGCCAUCACACUCUGCUCAGACUUUUGACCCUGGCCAAACGGACUAUGGAACAGCUAACUGUUGUAAAAUGGUAGCUUGUUGGUUAUAAACAUGGUCCCAAAGUCCCCCCAAUUUUCACUUUUACUGGUCCUUCUUUACUUUUCAAUUUUGAAUAUUCCCGACAGAAAUCUGCUCUCCCAAAAAUAGGUCAUGUUUUUUGUACGUUUUUGAAUCACCCUUGUCUCUGUCUUUUCAGAUCCUGCUCCUCAUGUUCUGUGUCAGCCCUCCCCUGGUUACCCAUCACCUGUGUCUCCUUAUCACCUGAUUGUCUGUAUUUAACUCCAGCGUGUUCUCCCUCGUGUUACCAGUUCAUAGUGUUUCCCUCGACCUAGCGUUUUGUCUCAUUAGCCUUGGUGUGUCUCUCCCUGAUUUUUGUUUACCCUGCCUUUUGCCUUCUCCUCUUUCUGUGUACCGAACCUUGAACUACAUUAAACGACUUGCCUUUUAA
Labrus bergylta (ballan wrasse) is the source of this 2317-nucleotide non-coding RNA. Lineage: Eukaryota; Metazoa; Chordata; Actinopteri; Labriformes; Labridae. The record is from RefSeq and is a predicted model, not a curated record.